RNAcentral lists this long non-coding RNA (1330 nucleotides) under Coffea arabica (coffee). RNAcentral's name for it is "long non-coding RNA (CARA_LNC000871)". The record is from RNAcentral. Lineage: Eukaryota; Viridiplantae; Streptophyta; Magnoliopsida; Gentianales; Rubiaceae.
AAAGCAUGCUGUCCAUCAACUCAACUGCGACUGGCACAUCUCCAUACGUUAAGUCUUCCCUUGAACCAUCUCUGAAGCGAUCUUAAGCGCAUCAUCAGAUUUAAGAUCAAAGAGAAACUCAAAACAGUUUGCCACAGGACGAUGCAAGUCUGCAACUCGCAAGUUAAACAAAAUUGUUUUCUGAUCGAUUCUCUUCCCUCUCAAUCGUAGCUGUAUCUGUUGUGUGGACCUCAAAGAUUCUAAUAUAGAGAUAGGACCUGACGUGAUGAUGCCUGCUGCAGAUGCCUUACUUGAGUCGAAGCCUUAUUAUAACUAGAUCCAUCAUUACUCGUGGAGACUUGGGAAUCAGGCUGCGGAAUAUUGUUGGAUUCAGGCAGAACAGCGGACGGGCGAAGCCCCGAUUCGCAUUUAUCCCCUUUUAAGCUCUCUGGUGAUGAUAAGAAUGGAUCUUUCAAGAGCUGCAGCACUGGGUCUCUGAGCUGCAGGAAGUAAACACUUUUCAAUAAAUCCUUUAACCUGAGGAUCCUUGACAUUUCCCAAGGCAAGUGGCUUCACCCCUUUCGUGACCUUCUUGUAAAUCUGAGCGACAUUUGUGCAUUCACUGUAAGGGUAAUCACAAAUGAUCAACUCCAGCAUGCACAUCCCAAAGGCAUAUAUGUCGACAAGUUCAUUAUACUUCUCGUCAUACACUUCAGGAGCCAUGAAUUCAGGUGUCCCAACAACACUUGUUGCGACACCUGAAUUCUUCAACACUGUGGCCAAUCCUAGAUCACCAAUCUUGACCUCCCCCUGAUUCGCAUUGACAAAGAUAUUAUCGCACUUCAAAUCUCUAUGAGCAAUGGGUGGAUUACGGGUAUGCAAAUAGUUCAGCCCCUCCAAAAUCUGCUUAGCCCAGUUCUUGAUGGCCUUGAUAUUGACGGACUUGUGAUUCUUCCUAAACUCCCUCAAAGUUCCCGAACUAAACAACUCAGUAAUCAUGUUUACAUUCGUGUUAUCUUCGUCAAUCCACGAGUGUUGGCAUCUGAUUAUGUUGUUAUGCUUGAGUGAUUUCAUCAAAGCAGCCUCAGACAACAAACUUUUGGCAAGUUUGGGUAAAUCAUCCAAGGAGGCUGCUGCCCUGCCGGCUUCCAGGUUAAUUUGGUACCAAGCUACCUCCGUCCCGUUUUCUUGAUCAAAACCCUUGAAUACCGUCUUGAAUGCUCCUCUACCAAGAACUUCAUCGUACUUAAUAAAACGGCCGUCCGGCGAAAUCUCUAAAACACCACCCUUGUUCUCUUGUUUUUCGGAUUUGCACAUACUCGGACUCAUUCUUGUGGUUUAAAAAAAAAAA